UUUUUUUCCCCAAUGUAUGGAAAUGGACUAAGAUCAUUAAUUUUUUUUGCAGCCUUCUUUUUUAACACAUAAUGUUAGCUGUGCUUUUCUAAUCUUUUAUAUUGUUUGUUACAUUUUUUAAGUGCUUUUGUUCUAUUAUUUACUAAACAAAGUUAUAAGAAUCUUAUGGAAAUGUCUAUUUCUUCUUUUAGUUAUGAUUUACUGUUUUGUAUAUUUUCAGGGUGUAAGAUCGAUUUUUCCAGACUUUAAUUGUUCUAUAUUCUAGAGACUUAUCUUUUUUAACAGUGUGGCAUAUACUUCUUUUAUUGCUACUAAUGCUUCUUGUUUUAAAGACUACAUAUCUGAUAUUCUUAUUUUUAAAGAUUUAUUUAUUUAUUUUAGAGAAAGAGAGAGAGAGAAAGUGGAGUGCAGAGGAGCAGACAGAGAAGGGGAGAGAGAGAGUCUCAAGCAGACUCCCUGUUGAGCACAGAGCCUGAUGAAGGGCUCAAUCUCAUGACCCUUAGAUCAUGACCUGAAUCAAAAUCAAUACUCAAAUGAUUAACCCAACUGAGCCACCCAGGUGCCCCUGAUAUUGUCUUAUAUUCUGUUAGGCAACCCAGCUUCCUUUUGUUUCUUGUUUACAUAGAAUUUUUGUAUUCCAUUUCCAAAAAUAAAGCAAAAGCUGUUUUCUUAUAUUUAAGUCUUUUAAAAAUUAGCAGCAUAAGAAAAAAUGUUUUUAAAUAAGCAGCAUAAGGUUAGAGUCUGUAUUUGUAUCCAGAUUUGUAUCCAGCUUAGUUAUCUUCAUCCCAUUAUUGGAAUACUGAGGUAUUUUGUCUUUUUACAUUUAAUAUCUGUACUUACAUAUUUUGUCUUUAUCUAAUUGCUUUCUAUUUGUCCAUACUGUUCCAUAUCUUGUUUUUUCUCCUUUCUUACCUUUAUUGGGUUAACUAAUCAAGUAUUUUUUUUAAUUUAUUUCAUUCUGUAGCUUGCUAAUUAUACAUCCUGUUUAAUGUUUCCUAUAAUUUUACUUGAGACGUACACUUGCAUUCUUGACUUGCUAAAGCUAACAUAAGAUUGUUCAUUUACCAUUCCCCAGAUAAUGUAAGGACCUUAGAACAAUUUAAAUCUUCCUCCCCACCUUAUAUCUCAUAUAUGACUGUUAUUAUCUUAAUUCUACAUGUAUUUAAAAUCUCACAAUACACUAUAAUUAUUACUUUAUAGUGUCAAAAUUAAUUUACAUUUACUUAUCCUCUCUGUUGCUCAUUGUUCCAUCCUAUGUUUCCAUGCUUCCAUCUGGGAUCAUUGUUCUUCUGCCUAAAAAAAUCCCGUUAGUAUUUCUUUUAGUGCAGGUUUACUAUUAACAAAUUCACUUAGUUUGGGUUUUUAUUGGUUUUAUCAUAUUUUUUCUGAGGAAAAGUAUUUUGCCUUCAUUUUGGCAGGAUAUUUUUGCUCAGGAUAGAAUUCCAGAAGGCAUUUAUUUUCUUCCAGUUUUUGAAGUUAUUCCAAUUUUCUGGCUUUCAUUGUUUCUAUUGUAAACUUUACUGCCAUUGCUAUUCUUGCUCCUUUGAAGUAAUAUGACUUAUUUCUCCAGAAUCUGAAGAUUUUUUUCAUUAUCCUUACUUUCAGGAAUUUGCUGUGAUAUCCUUGGAUGUAGUUUUCUUUGCAUUUACCACCUUAUUUUUCAUAGCUUCUUGAAUCUAAUGCUUUAUCCUUUGUCAAUUUGGGAGAAAUUCUUAGCCAUUGUCUCCUCGAGUAAUACUUCUUUCCUGUUGGAACACCAGUAAUAUGUAUCUUAAACUAUUUUAUCAUAUCCCAUGCUUCACUUCAAUCCUUUUCUGUAUUUCCAUUAUUUUCUAUAUCUACAGUUCAGCUUACAUGUUUUGUCUAAACUACCUAUUAGCUCAGGCAUUCUUUCUCUAUCCAUGUCUUAUCUUCUAUUAAAUCCAUUUAUGAGUUUUUAAUUUAUUUGAUGCCUUUUAGAAUUAGACUUUGUAUUUGGUUUUUUUAGAAAAUAAUCUUCAGUAUUCUGCUAAAAUUAUCCAUCUUGCCAUUUAAUUUCUAAGUCCUUUUUUUGAUAUCUGCAAUAUAAGAUUUUCUGAUUCUAUUUUUUAAUGUCUAUUUUUUCUCUUUUUCAAUUCUUAUUUUUAAUAUAUUUGGUUAGGUUUUAUUAAUUGUUGAAUGUUGUAUAUGAAAAUUUUAGUGAUAAUUAACAUCAUUUAAAAUUGUGUAUGAUGAUAUUGUCCUUCAAUGAGGAUUUGCUUUUCUUCUGGCAGGUAUUUGAAUAGGAGUUGCUUACGAAGCAAGCAUUGUAUUUAUUUAAAGCUGAGCUCCAGCGUUUGUGAGAAUUGGUCAGUUUUAACUUUACUCUUAAUCUUGAAAGAUAGCCCUUCAGGAGUGCACCUGAAUGUCUAGAGUGUUCGGCAGGGUUACUUCUCCUUGGUGAGCACUGAACUUCAAUUUUUGGUGCUCUCAGUUCCCUGAGACCACCAAAAUUCUGGGCUUACUUCUCAGCGUCUCAGCUUUUACAUUAAAAUUGUCAAGUGCUUUGCCAAAUAUGAGACUCAUCUCUCUAGGCUUUUCUUGUCUCUGGGAUUUUAGCAUCUUAAAUUUUUCUUUUCAAAUCAAUUUUUCAGUCUUUAUUUUCCUUUCACUUUUUCUACUUAUCUUAGGGGUGGGGCUCAACUAAUAAACUUAGUCUACCACAGCUGGAGUCUCCAAUCUAUUUUAAUAAAGAAAUUAAAUUUCUUCUAAAUUAAAAUUCUCCAAAAUAUUUUAAUGAAGAAAUAUUUUGUAAAACCUUAUGAUUUUAUCGAGUUUACCUGAAUCACAGACUAAAAUCUUUAACUUAUGUUAAAGAACUGUUAUUCUUUCUCUGAAUUGUGACCAAAUUUGUUUAAAUAUAGCCACUAAAAAACUUAAAGCAAUGACUUUUACUUUAUCAUUUAAUUAGCAAAUAUUAUUUGGGUCACAAAUAAAGAUAAGAACUGUGAGUUGUACAGUUCACCCUAGGUAGAGGGUUGAGUCAUUGGUACAGUGGUGCACAAGACAAAGUCCCUCUCUCACACACGUGAAGAUUUUCUAAAUGUAUUGAACUGCAUGGUUUCAGCAGUGACAUGGCUGUUACAAGGAGGGAAGUAUAAUGGAAUCAUCCUUUCCUUCUUUGUGUGAAUCAGUUUUAGCUUGGGAACAGCUACCAAGAAACCUUUUCAUUUUUGUAGAACAGGCAUAGCUUGGAGGUACCUGAGUAGGUGAUAUAUGGGCCCAAAGCAGAGAAGCAGAUCCCAUAUCAAGUAAAAAGCCAUGACUUGAUGAGGAAAAAGAAAAAAAAAAAA
Molecule: long non-coding RNA, 3311 nt
Filed under: Canis lupus familiaris (dog)
Lineage: Eukaryota; Metazoa; Chordata; Mammalia; Carnivora; Canidae
Description: lncRNA (ENSCAFG00000052058.1)
Source: RNAcentral